This is a long non-coding RNA of Erinaceus europaeus (western European hedgehog), 675 nucleotides long. RefSeq lists it as uncharacterized. Lineage: Eukaryota; Metazoa; Chordata; Mammalia; Eulipotyphla; Erinaceidae. The transcript is spliced from 3 exons. The record is from RefSeq and is a predicted model, not a curated record.
CCUCACCCGCGCCCGCACCGGCGACUAGAGCGCGUGGGGCAGCGCCGCGCCCUGACAGCCGCUCGACGCCUCCUCGCCUUCUCCAGGAGCCGCACACCGGCCUCCCCCGCCCGGCGCUCCCCUCCCAGCCCGAGCCCUCCUGCUGCUGCUGCUGCCGCUCCUCCUCCUCCUCAGCGUCCUCCCCUGGCGCGCGGCGCUGACAGGCAGCUACAGCGGGGCGAGUGCAGGUACUUUGCCUCCAGAAUAAUUUGCGGGACCCAAGCUAGCUUUUGGAGCGCACCCCCCCCACACACACACACCCCGCCGCACCUCCAUUUUCUUCAGUUUCCUUCCCCCUUCCUCUUGGAAAAGAAGAUCCCACUUUUGAAACAAACGGAACCUGAAGCACCCUGCCAAAGGCUAAACCCGACGGGCAGCGGUGCAUGUGCAGUCCUCUGUUGCAGUUUAUUCCGGGCCUGUGUGGAAUAGAAAGACGGUUCUUUCUUUGAUUGGAAGGCAAGAAAAGAGAAGACCCCUCAGGGUUUCCAAAGGACUGGAGCGGCUGCUUUAGUGAAGCAAUGGACAAUCAAAGAAGUAAAGGGCCUGCCUUAAAGCCACACUACUAGGAAACCUUGAGGAGUUUGACACUUUUUAUCCUCCAGCCAUUGACUGUUUUGUGAAGCAAGGCUAUACAUA